GCCCAAUCGAAACCCAAUGCCCUUCGGGGCUUUGUGUUGACCCAAAAUAAUUCAACGGAUCGGUAGUAGGGGUGCCAUGUAGGUGCCACUUAUCGAUGGAUCAUUCAAAUUUCUGUUCUAUCAAUUUAUGAAGGUAGGGUAGUGGCCUACCUUGAUAAUGACGGAUACGGGGGAUCAGGGUUCGGUACCGGAGAGAGGCCUGAGAGACGGCCGCCACAUCUACGGGAGGCAGCAGGCGCGGAAAUUACCCUAAUCUCGACACGAGGAGGUAGUGACAAGAAAUAUCGACACGGGUUCCUUACGGGACUUGUAAAGUUGAAAUGAGGACAGUUUAAAAUUCUUACCGAGGAGCUAUUAGAGGGCAAGUUGGGUGCCAGCAGCCGCGGUAAUACCCACUCUAAAAGUGUAUGUUAAAGUUGUUGCAGUUAAAACGCUCGUAGUUGGAUUCAAGUGGCGGAAACCGGCCAAGGUGCUCUUCGGAGGCCUUUUGCGUCGAACUUUGCUACUAAUUGUUACUUUGAAUAAAAUUUAGUGUUCAGGCAUGUUUUUAACCGCAUGAAAAGUUUAGCAUGGAAUAACAAAAAGACACACUGUGUGAUUUUGUUGGGUUUUUGAUAGUGUGUAAUGGUUAAAUAGGGACAGACUCGGGGGCGUAAGUACUGAGUAGGUAGAGGUGGAAUUCAAUGAUCUACUCAAGACUGACUGAAGCGAAGGCGUUUCGUCAAGGAUGUUUUCGUUGAUCAAGAACGAAAGUUAGGGGAUCGAAGACGAUUAGACACCGUCGUAGUCCUAACCGUAAACUAUCUCGACUAGGGAUUGGUGCAGGUAGUUACCGUUAUGGUGACUGUACUGUAUCAGGACCUCUAGAGAAAUCGUUAAGUCUUUGGAGUCUGGGGGGAAGUAUAAUCGCAAGGUUGAAACUUAAAUCGGAAUUGACGGAAGAGCACCACAAGAGAUGGAGCUUGUUGCUUAAUUUGACCCAACGCGGGGAAGCUUACCAGGACUGGACUGAGAGAGGAUUGACAGCCUAAUGGGGCUUUCAAGAUUCUCAGAAUGGUGGUGCAUGGCCGUUCUUAGUUGGUGAAGUGAUUUGUCUGAGUUAAUUCCGUUAACGAGCGAGACCUUAACCUGCUAACUAGCAUACCGAGGGAGGAUUCGUCCGAACUCGAUAGUCAAGUGCGAUAAGUGCUUGACUGUGCUUCUUAGAGGGACUACUAGUGUUGAACUAGAGGAAGCUUGAGGCAAUAACAGGUCUGAGAUGCCCUUGGAUGUCCUGGGCUGCACACGUGCUACAAUGGUCCGACUAGAAAGUUCCAUGGCCGAGAGGUCACUGUGGUCGGGGGGCAACCCCCUUCCCUGGAAAUCUUUUAAACCGGACCUUGCCUUGGGAUUGGUUAUUGUAAUUUUUAACCAUGAACCAGGAAUUUCUAGUAAGCGCAAGUCAUCAUCUUGCGCUGAAUACGUCCCUGCUCUUUGUACACACCGCCCGUCGCUUAUACCGAUUGGAUGGCCCGGUGAACCCAUUGGACUCUGCCCCUCAAAAGAGGGGCUGGGGGAAGAUUGGUAAAUCUUGUCAUCUAGAGGAAUAAGAAGUCGUAACAAGGUA
Molecule: ribosomal RNA, 1606 nt
Filed under: metagenome
Description: SSU rRNA
Rfam family: Eukaryotic small subunit ribosomal RNA
Source: RNAcentral